ACACAUCGAGGAUAAUUAACAUUCAUGCGUACUUCAUGAAAAAUCUAGGAUGGGAUUAAGAUUGCCUUGACCAAUUAAAUGAUGGGUUAAAAAUAAGAAAGAUUAGUGACAAAUGAGGUUGAAAAAAAAAACAAAAUAGAGGAAAGGAUUAAGAGUUCCACUCGAGGAAAUAAAUUUUUUAAGAAUAUAUAUUUAGGGACAUGUGAUCGGAAGUGGACAAGAAUAGAAAGAAAAUAGUAGGAAUUAGUGUUAAAUCACUAUGUGCAGGUUAUAUGCAAUAGUAACAUAAAUUUAAGGAUGUGAGGAAAGAAAUGACAUUGGUUUAUGUAUAAGUAUGUGUGUAUUUAUCGAAAGAAUGAGAAAGGAAAGAAAAAUAGAAUAAAAUAAAGAGAGAUGUAUGGAUAUCCAUUGAGGUUGUGAAUUGGGUGAGUAUACGAUCACUAGUGUGUAAUUAAUAAAUUGUUUUAUGGGUAUUUCAAAGAAAGUCUCUUGUAUAUGUUUUAUUUGAUAGGUAUUGACAAGUGUUGUGAUUAAGGUAUUUUGAGAGAACAUUAUUUAAGGAGGCUGGGUUAUUUUUAAAGAAUUAAAUGUUGAUGUUUAUUAUUAGAAAUUUUUGGGAAAUUUGCUACUUUGUAGAUCAUGGAAGGAUGAGGUACAUGCAUAGACAUAAUCAAUAUUUGAAGCAUUGAUCAUAUUACGUAUAUGAUUGACUGGUUUUAAUUUUCUCUUUGGGGUGUAGAAAAGUGGGGACAAUCUAAUUCUAAAGAAAAGCAAAAAAUAAAUAAAUAAAUUAUUUGACUAUAAGAGAAAAGAACGUUAAAUCAAGAAAAUAUAUUCUAAAUGGAGAGAAUAAAGAAACCAUGAGAUGUGGGACGUUGUGGACACAUUCCUAAAUACUAUGAAAUGAUAUUUUUUUUUGGGUGUCAAUUUUAUCGACUGUUUCUUCAGCUAGAUUUUUAUUGGGAUCUUAUGAAUAGUGUACUACUCCUAUUAUGAUAAUUUUUAUGGAACUUAUUGAUUAUAUGUUAGCGCAUUUUAAAAUUGAAGAUGAUUUACAAGUUCAAGCUUUAGUUAGAAUAGACGAUUAGUUUAGAUUUUGUCAUUUUAGUGAAGGAUAUUAAUGUAGAUACACAAGAAAGAUAUACUGGAUUAGAAUAUCACUUUGAGGUGAUUUAUAAAAUUAUAUAUAGAUAAGAUUGUUAUUGGUAGGUGGAGUUUGAGUAUUUAUUUUUGGAUUAGUCGUAGGGAGUUAUAUAACUAAAUUUCAUUUUGCAGCUUUUUAGAAAGUCAACACUAUGAAGACAAGUUCAGAAGACAGGCUAUCAACUAUGGUUGGUUAAUUAAAGGAGAAUUGGAUAAUUAUUAUUUUUCAUGAAAUUGACAUAUAAGAACUAGACACUAGUGACGAUAAUUUAGGUUAUAUAUGUUAUUGAAAUAGUUCAAGGAUGUACCUAUUGUGAUGAAAUUGGUGAAAGAAUGUUAGUCGGUCUUAGUGUGUAACCAUUGUAAUAGAAGAGGGAUUUGAUUAGAGAAUAGUUCAAAUCAUAAUGUAAGAUGAAGUUUGGGGAGAAUAUGGAAACUAGUAUCAUGAAUUUCAAAUGGGCGAAUAGCUGAAUAUUUUUUUGAGAUAUGGUAACUUGAAAAGUUGAGAAUAUUAUAUAUUGCUUUUUGAAAUGUUAUUUAAAACUUGGGUCCAAUUGUUUCAUGAUGGAGUUCACAAUGGUUUUAUCUGGUAGUUAGGAAUGUAUUGUUUAUUUCUAAGGCUUUGUAAGUAGAUAUCAAAUUUAACUUAUGCGUUAAGAUUACUAGUGAAGUUAAAGAGUGGUCUAUUUAGAAAAGCCAAAUAAGAUGCAAUAUGAAAGAAUGAUUUGUGUCUAGUUCAAGACUGCAAGAAAAAGUAUUCAUCGUGGGUGUUUUGUGCCUUUUAUGUGUUUGAAUUCUAGUUGAUUGAAUUUCGAUGACUAAAUUCUUUAAAGGAGGUAAGAUUGUUACAUUCCAUUUUAUCUACUUAAAAGUCAAUAUAAUUUAUUCAAAGUCAAAAGUUAGACUAGUCAAAGUCAAAGUCAAUUAUGGACUUAAAUGAAAUAAAUCGUUUUAUUGGGGUUUAUUUUAUAUUUUAGAUAUUUGAGGAUUUAUAAUGGACAUCAUUUAAAUUGGAGGACUUCUUUUAUAACUAUGGAAAGUUUAAUGACCAGAUUUUAUACAAAACAUAAAAGGAAGGACUUGAAUAGCAAAUAUGGGAGUUAGGAGGACAAGUGUCAUUGUAGAGGCCAUUUCUUCAUUUUCUAUUCAUACAGACACAUACAUCCAAAAUGCUGAAAUGGGAAAAAGAAGCAGAGAAAAUCGGUGGAAAAAAAAAAGAAAAAUAAAAUAAAAUUGGAGGUGUCGGCCAACGACGCAUAGGAGGGAAGAUACACUUCUUCAAGUAUUGGGUUGUCUUUCAUAUCCCCAUUUCUUCGACAAUCUCAAGUGAGUAAGUUUUAUACAAACUUAGAUUUCUUAUUUUGGGUCAACAAGUGAAAAAUAAGCCCAAUUUCUUGAUGGUCUAGUACAGAUAAACUGUUUUUCAUUUUUUAAGCUUUUAAGCUAUGUGAAUCAAAUAUGUAUUAAUUCUGGGGUUGGAAUUUUGUGGACAGAAAUUCAGCUAGUAGUUGGGUUAGAAUUGAAAUUUAAAUAAAGAAACCAAAAGGCAAGUGAAGAAUUG
Molecule: long non-coding RNA, 2704 nt
Filed under: Olea europaea (common olive)
Lineage: Eukaryota; Viridiplantae; Streptophyta; Magnoliopsida; Lamiales; Oleaceae
Description: long non-coding RNA (OEUR_LNC005070)
Source: RNAcentral